RNAcentral lists this ribosomal RNA (700 nucleotides) under uncultured bacterium. RNAcentral's name for it is "bacterial SSU rRNA". It matches the Rfam family "Bacterial small subunit ribosomal RNA", at positions 8 to 703 of the family's 1533-position model. The record is from RNAcentral.
AGAGUUUGAUCAUGGCUCAGAUUGAACGCUGGCGGAAUGCUUUACACAUGCAAGUCGAACGAUGAACCUUAGCUUGCUAGGGGGAUUAGUGGCGAACGGGUGAGUAAUAUAUCGGAACGUGCCUUGUAAUGGGGGAUAACUAGUCGAAAGAUUAGCUAAUACCGCAUACGCCCUGAGGGGGAAAGUAGGGGAUCUUCGGACCUUACGUUAUAAGAGCGGCCGAUAUCUGAUUAGCUAGUUGGUGGGGUAAUGGCCUACCAAGGCUUCGAUCAGUAGCUGGUCUGAGAGGACGACCAGCCACACUGGAACUGAGACACGGUCCAGACUCCUACGGGAGGCAGCAGUGGGGAAUUUUGGACAAUGGGCGCAAGCCUGAUCCAGCCAUUCCGCGUGAGUGAAGAAGGCCUUCGGGUUGUAAAGCUCUUUCGCAAGGGAAGAAAACUUACUUUCUAAUAAAGAGUGAGGCUGACGGUACCUUGAUAAGAAGCACCGGCUAACUACGUGCCAGCAGCCGCGGUAAUACGUAGGGUGCGAGCGUUAAUCGGAAUUACUGGGCGUAAAGCGUGCGCAGGCGGUUUGGCAAGUCAGAUGUGAAAUCCCCGAGCUCAACUUGGGAACUGCGUUUGAAACUGCCAGACUAGAAUAUGUCAGAGGGGGGUAGAAUUCCACGUGUAGCAGUGAAAUGCGUAGAGAUGUGGAG